RNAcentral lists this ribosomal RNA (253 nucleotides) under uncultured bacterium. RNAcentral describes it as "partial 16S ribosomal RNA". It matches the Rfam family "Bacterial small subunit ribosomal RNA", at positions 524 to 776 of the family's 1533-position model. The record is from RNAcentral.
UACGUAGGGACCAAGCGUUGUUCGGAUUUACUGGGCGUAAAGGGCGCGUAGGCGGCUUAACAAGUCACUUGUGAAAUCUCCGGGCUUAACUCGGAACGGCCAAGUGAAACUGUCAAGCUAGAGUGCAGAAGGGGCAAUCGGAAUUCUUGGUGUAGCGGUGAAAUGCGUAGAUAUCAGGAGGAACACCGGUGGUGUAGACGGCUUUCUGGACCGUAACUGACGCUGAGACACGAAAGCGUGGGUAGCAAACAGG